AGUAACGCGUAGGUAACCUACCUUGUAGCGGGGGAUAACUAUUGGAAACGAUAGCUAAUACCGCAUAACAAUGGAUGACACAUGUCAUUUAUUCGAAAGGGGCAAUUGCUCCACUACAAGAUGGACCUGCGUUGUAUUAGCUAGUAGGUGAGGUAAUGGCUCACCUAGGCGACGAUACAUAGCCGACCUGAGAGGGUGAUCGGCCACACUGGGACUGAGACACGGCCCAGACUCCUACGGGAGGCAGCAUG
RNAcentral lists this ribosomal RNA (251 nucleotides) under uncultured bacterium. RNAcentral describes it as "partial 16S ribosomal RNA". It matches the Rfam family "Bacterial small subunit ribosomal RNA", at positions 109 to 353 of the family's 1533-position model. The record is from RNAcentral.